GCAUCAGUGUGCCUCCCUCUUGUGUAGUCUGAACCCUCAGAAUUAAAGAUGAAUAAAAAUGCCAAGUCAUGGGAAAGUCUGGCCCUAAGAAAAGCAACUGAUGAGCUAUCAGCUCAUGGACUGUCAGCAGGGCCAUCUGUAGGUGAUGCCCUCUCCUCUGUCUAUCCUCUUGUGAGGUCAAUCCAGCAGGAAGUCCAGCCCUGCCGAGAGAAGGGGGUACCAUGAAUGCACCGAUGGGACCAGAGUCCCUUCCGGAGCUCCCCAGGUCCCAGCACUGCUGUCCUCCUUGUCUGCCUGUGUCUUCUGGAGCUGGCCUUGAGGCCCAUGAAGAAAUGCAGCCUUUUGAAGGUAAAGCAAGGACUACUUGAUGCUGAGAUAGACAGGGUGCCAGCACCCAGCUCAGGUCAUGAGAAGCUGAGUUCACUGUAAGAACCCUAUAAACAUCUGCAGCAGAUGGACCUGCCCAAGGUGAGGGUUCAAUUUUCCCCUGUGAGAACAAGCCGACUAGGGAGGUACUAGCCGUGCAUGAGGUCAUCCUGACUCUCCUCUGAGAGAAGGAUGAUUCAGCCUAUGACUCUCCUCCGAGGGAAGGAUGAUUCGGCCUAUGUCCCUGUCUUCCUCUGCAGCCUUGCCCUGACAUCUGGAAAACAGCAACGUUACAUGGAUACUUCCCUCACUCUGAACAGCUCACAAGUUGGCCAGAAAAAUGCUGUGUAAACUCCAGGCCAGGCCUCUAAUUCUCUGGCGGCAGCACCAGAGAAAUGAGGAGAAUGUUCUCCCACUGGCUUCUUCAGCAGGAUCUGUGGUACAUUUCUAAAAAAUAAAAGAAAAAGAAAUCUACAAAGCUGUAAUGCUCUAGCACGUCAUGGCAAAGAUUUUGUUUUUUAUGUUUGAAAAAGAGCUUGAAAGAAUAACACGUUGAACAUUAGGUUAAUAUCUGCUCCUGCUCAAAAAUGAUUUUCUUACACAAGAAUGUCCCUUCCAAAAUGGCUUUUUGUCAGUAGCAUGAAAGCAAGUUUGGCAUGGGCCCAGUGGUGAUUCUGAUGGGAAGUGAAAGGCAGGCACACCCUAACGAUCAAGAUCAAAGGCCCCUAGAGCACCCCAUAUGCAGGAGGAGUCGCCCACUGCCCAAAUGGUGCAGGGCCAUUGCCAAUUUCCCUGGCAUUGCCAGGAGCCUCUGGGAUCUACCAUAAAGCCUUAGACCAAGGAAGGCCUUGUCCCAUACCCAGUGAGUGGAGUCUCUGCCCACCAAGUGCCCACCUGUCUCUCCUGAAGUCUCUCUACAACACUGCCACCACUAGCAACCUCACACACCAUUACAUGGAAGAGUUAAAACAUGAGGGCACAGUAGUCUCCAGGUCCUUGGGGGAAAUUACUGGGCCAGAUUGUAGCCCAUUUUUCUUUAAUUUCUUUCCUUUCUCCCUUCCUACCUCCCUCUCUUCAUCCCCACUUUUCUUUUAUCAGUCAGUUGGCAACAUUUAAAGAGAACUACUCUAAUACUAGGCAUUGUGCACGGGUGAGUCAAGUACUGUUCUCCCUCUCAAGGAGUGCACAGACUAGUGUGGAGACUGACAUUCCAACACGUUAUACCUUUUAAUGGCUUCAUGCUUGUCACAGCAUUAAGUGUAGAAUGUCAGGCAAACAGAAGGAGGCCCUGAGCCAGCCAGGCCAGGCAGGGGUCUUCAACAACUCUGUGGAGUAAUGUAUGAAACCAGGGGAAGGAAAAACACAAGCUGUGGGUCAGACUCAUUGGGGUCAAGUCUGAGGUCUGCCUGCUCGCUCAUUGGCUAUGUAACCCUGAGCCUUGGUGACCUGAAUAGUAGCAUGAGGGUGAUGUUCAUGUCAUGCUGAUGUGGUACAGUGCCCCAUGCAGUACAGCGACACUCAAAUGAGGACACCCAGAGGGCACACCUUGCAUUAAUGCAGAUGUGAAAAUCAUGCAACUGUGGAUCAACUCCCUGCAGCCUGCACAGGCCUGCACCAGCUAUUUCAUAAACCUUGCAGUCAUGCAACCCCAUAUUGUAUUGGAGGGGAUAUUUAGGACCUCACCUCUGGCACUAUGAUCACUAGGAAUCGUAGUAAUCAUAGUAGAAUCAUGGUAGGGAUACUGCUCCUCCACCAUGUUUCCCUCCACUGUUAUAAAUUGACAUUUGGAAGUGAAUGUCUUCUGUUUUUCUGGACUUCACCAAUACAGUGACUGGGCAACUGUUUACAUGUUAUGUCGUUGGCUACUCAAGAACUUCGUGAGCAUGUUUUUCACCAAGCUUUCCUUGGGCAGUUUAUAAUGAACCAUCAAUAGUCUCACAUUUAAUUCAAAAUAAAAGACCUAACAAGGAAUUUUUUAAAUUCUGGUGAACGUGUGGGGAAAUGAACAUCCUCAUGUACAGCUGAUGGGAACAGGUUUGAUGUAACCUUUCUGGAGAGCAAUUUGGCGAUGCAUAUUAAAAGUCUUAUAAUGUUUAUGUCAACCCAGUGACACUACUUGUAAAACUUUACCCUAAUAACCGUUUAUGUGCGCAAAGAUUUAUCUUCAAAUAUCCUUAUUGUAUGAUCCUUAACAAUAGCAAAAAACUGGAA
Molecule: long non-coding RNA, 2577 nt
Filed under: Homo sapiens (human)
Lineage: Eukaryota; Metazoa; Chordata; Mammalia; Primates; Hominidae
Description: HSALNT0038614
Source: RNAcentral